Molecule: ribosomal RNA, 460 nt
Filed under: uncultured bacterium
Lineage: Bacteria
Description: partial 16S ribosomal RNA
Rfam family: Bacterial small subunit ribosomal RNA
Source: RNAcentral
CCUACGGGAGGCAGCAGUGAGGAAUAUUGGUCAAUGGACGAGAGUCUGAACCAGCCAAGUAGCGUGAAGGAUGACUGCCCUAUGGGUUGUAAACUUCUUUUAUAUGGGAAUAAAAUGUUCCACGUGUGGGAUUUUGUAUGUACCAUAUGAAUAAGGAUCGGCUAACUCCGUGCCAGCAGCCGCGGUAAUCCGGAGGAUCCGAGCGUUAUCCGGAUUUAUUGGGUUUAAAGGGAGCGUAGGUGGAUUGUUAAGUCAGUUGUGAAAGUUUGCGGCUCAACCGUAAAAUUGCAGUUGAAACUGGCAGUCUGGAGUACAGUAGAGGUGGGCGGAAUUCGUGGUGUAGCGGUGAAAUGCUUAGAUAUCACGAAGAACUCCGAUUGCGAAGGCAGCUCACUGGACUGCAACUGACACUGAGGCUCGAAAGUGUGGGUAUCAAACAGGAUUAGAUACCCCUGUAGUC